RNAcentral lists this ribosomal RNA (488 nucleotides) under uncultured bacterium. RNAcentral describes it as "partial 16S ribosomal RNA". It matches the Rfam family "Bacterial small subunit ribosomal RNA", at positions 30 to 506 of the family's 1533-position model. The record is from RNAcentral.
UUGAACGCUGGCGGCAGGCCCAACACAUGCAAGUCGAACGGUAACAGGAAGCAGCUUGCUGCUUCGCUGACGAGUGGCGGACGGGUGAGUAAUGUCUGGGAAGCUGCCUGAUGGAGGGGGAUAACUACUGGAAACGGUAGCUAAUACCGCAUAAUGUCGCAAGACCAAAGAGGGGGACCUUCGGGCCUCUUGCCAUCGGAUGUGCCCAGAUGGGAUUAGCUUGUUGGUGGGGUAACGGCUCACCAAGGCGACGAUCCCUAGCUGGUCUGAGAGGAUGACCAGCCACACUGGAACUGAGACACGGUCCAGACUCCUACGGGAGGCAGCAGUGGGGAAUAUUGCACAAUGGGCGCAAGCCUGAUGCAGCCAUGCCGCGUGUAUGAAGAAGGCCUUCGGGUUGUAAAGUACUUUCAGCGGGGAGGAAGGGAGUAAAGUUAAUACCUUUGCUCAUUGACGUUACCCGCAGAAGAAGCACCGGCUAACUCCGU